GCAGGGAUGGCCAGGGAUUAGGUUAAUUCCCGUAUAAAUUGCCCACCCCACAUUAUCCCAUCUCCUCCUCCCCACCCCUCUCCGUCGACAGCCGCCACCGCGCUCCACUUCCCCCACUUGCGCUGCGUUCUUCUCGCGUGUGAAGUCCAGGACCAGGACAAAGGAAUGGCUUCAAACAACACAAGGGGCAACGGAGAAAGGGCUACGUCCAGGUGUACUGAUGCUGAUCUAUAUGGAGGCGUCAAUGUACUUGCUGGAGACGGUUUUGAGAGCCAGGUUUACUCAAAAGAGAUACACGCUGAUGCUGUAAAGCUCAGUGUAAGAAGGGUCCGAACAAGCUUUGCCCACACAAAGAUGCCAUGUCCAGGGCUGAUGUCAUUAAGAAUGGGAGCUAUGGUGGCAUGAAAAUUGUCCACCCGUCACCAGCUGUCACUGAGGAUGUAGCGCAGAAGUAGAUCAGGAAGACCUCGGGGCCACUAUGCACAAUAUUUUUAUCAGGUGUUGUUUCCAAUGACAUCUGAAGUUAUUUGCUCCGGGGUUUCGUCAUCACGCUUGUUUGCACGGUUCCGAGUACUCCAGUUUUUGUACUGAAUGUAUGGUCUUCUAUGAGAUGACUAUCUGAAAGUGAAGUUUUUGUAAUAGUACUAUAAUGAUUCGUAUGGUCAUCUAUGACCUGACUAUUGCUAUAUAUGUGCUAUAUAUAUGACUACUGCUGAAAGCAAUAAUGUCUUUUACCA
This is a long non-coding RNA of Triticum aestivum (bread wheat), 737 nucleotides long. RefSeq lists it as uncharacterized. NCBI's taxonomy places the organism in Eukaryota, Viridiplantae, Streptophyta, Magnoliopsida, Poales, Poaceae. The record is from RefSeq and is a predicted model, not a curated record. The transcript has 6 exons.